This 447-nucleotide ribosomal RNA is filed under the name uncultured bacterium. RNAcentral's name for it is "partial 16S ribosomal RNA". It matches the Rfam family "Bacterial small subunit ribosomal RNA", at positions 329 to 793 of the family's 1533-position model. The record is from RNAcentral.
UUCCAGACUCCUACGGGAGGCAGCAGUGGGGAAUAUUGCACAAUGGGGGGAACCCUGAUGCAGCGACGCCGCGUGGGUGAAGGAGCACCUCGGUGCGUAAAGCCCUAUCGGCAGGGAAGAAACAGACGGUACCUGACUAAGAAGCCCCGGCUAACUACGUGCCAGCAGCCGCGGUAAUACGUGGGGGGCAAGCGUUAUCCGGAUUUACUGGGGGUAAAGGGGGCGCAGACGGCGAUGCAAGCCAGGAGUGAAAGCCCGGGGCCCAACCCCGGGACUGCUCUUGGAACUGCGUGGCUAGAGUGCAGGAGGGGCAGGCGGAAUUCCUGGUGUAGCGGUGAAAUGCGUAGAUAUCAGGAGGAACACCGGUGGCGAAGGCGGCCUGCUGGACUGCAACUGACGUUGAGGCCCGAAAGCGUGGGGAGCAAACAGGAUUAGAUACCCGCGUAG